Molecule: ribosomal RNA, 432 nt
Filed under: Triticum aestivum (bread wheat)
Lineage: Eukaryota; Viridiplantae; Streptophyta; Magnoliopsida; Poales; Poaceae
Description: partial small subunit ribosomal RNA
Source: RNAcentral
GCAGCAGCGGCAUCCAUGGCCCCCAAGGCGGAGAAGAAGCCGGUGGCGGAGAAGGCCGAGAAGACGACGGCGGCGAAGAAGACCAAGGCCGAGAAGCGGCCGCCGGCGUCCAAGGAGGGCGGCGAGAAGAAGGGCAAGAAGAAGUCCAAGAAGAGCGUGGAGACUUACAAGAUCUACAUCUUCAAGGUGCUGAAGCAGGUGCACCCGGACAUCGGCAUCUCCUCCAAGGCCAUGUCCAUCAUGAACUCCUUCAUCAACGACAUCUUCGAGAAGCUCGCCGGCGAGUCGGCCAAGCUCGCCAGGUACAACAAGAAGCCCACCAUCACGUCCAGGGAGAUCCAGACCUCCGUCCGCCUCGUCCUCCCCGGCGAGCUCGCCAAGCACGCCGUCUCUGAGGGUACAAAGGCCGUCACCAAGUUCACAUCCGCUUAG